RNAcentral lists this ribosomal RNA (434 nucleotides) under uncultured archaeon. Its description in RNAcentral is "bacterial SSU rRNA". It matches the Rfam family "Archaeal small subunit ribosomal RNA", at positions 19 to 458 of the family's 1478-position model. The record is from RNAcentral.
GGACCUGANUGCUAUCGGAUUGAUACUAAGCCAUGCGAGUCAUUGUAGCAAUACAAGGCAUACGGCUCAGUAACGCGUAGUCAACCUAACCUAUGGACGGGAAUAACCUCGGGAAACUGAGAAUAAUGCCCGAUAGAACAUUAUGCCUGGAAUGGUUUAUGUUCCAAAUGAUUUAUCGCCGUAGGAUGGGACUGCGGCCUAUCAGUUUGUUGGUGAGGUAAUGGCCCACCAAGACUAUUACAGGUACGGGCUCUGAGAGGAGUAGCCCGGAGAUGGGUACUGAGACACGGACCCAGGCCCUAUGGGGCGCAGCAGGCGAGAAAACUUUGCAAUGUGCGAAAGCACGACAAGGUUAAUCCGAGUGGUUUCUGCUAAAGAAACCUUUUGUCAGUCCUAGAAACACUGAUGAAUAAGGGGUGGGCAAGUUCUGGUGU